This 404-nucleotide ribosomal RNA is filed under the name Actinomycetes bacterium. Its description in RNAcentral is "Actinobacteria bacterium partial 16S ribosomal RNA". It matches the Rfam family "Bacterial small subunit ribosomal RNA", at positions 355 to 776 of the family's 1533-position model. Lineage: Bacteria; Bacillati; Actinomycetota; Actinomycetes. The record is from RNAcentral.
UGGGGAAUAUUGGACAAUGGGCGCAAGCCUGAUCCAGCCAUGCCGCGUGAGUGAUGAAGGCCCUAGGGUUGUAAAGCUCUUUCACCGGUGAAGAUAAUGACGGUAACCGGAGAAGAAGCCCCGGCUAACUUCGUGCCAGCAGCCGCGGUAAUACGAAGGGGGCUAGCGUUGUUCGGAUUUACUGGGCGUAAAGCGCACGUAGGCGGACUUUUAAGUCAGGGGUGAAAUCCCGGGGCUCAACCCCGGAACUGCCUUUGAUACUGGAAGUCUUGAGUAUGGUGGAGGUGAGUGGAAUUCCGAGUGUAGAAGUGAAAUUCGUAGAUAUUCGGAGGAACACCAGUGGCGAAGGCGGCUCACUGGACCAUUACUGACGCUGAGGUGCGAAAGCGUGGGGAGCAAACAGG